UCUGGCCUGCCCACUGAAAUUUUAAAGGGCCGCAGUAUUUUGACUGUGCAAAGGUAGCAUAAUCAUUAGUCUUUUAAUUGAAGGCUGGUAUGAAUGGUUGGAUGAGGUGAAUUCUGUUUUAUAUAAAUUUUAAUUGAAUUUAGAUUUUAAGUAAAAAGACUUAAAUAUAAUUAAGGGACGAGAAGACCCUAUAGAGUUUAAUAAGUGAAAUAAUUAGUUGAGUUAAUUAAAAAUUUUUAAUUAUUAUUAAAUUUAUUUAGUUGGGGUGAUUAAAAGAUAAAAUAAAUUCUUUUUUGAUUUUAAUAAUAUAAUUAAUUAUAUGAUCCAUAAUUAAUGAUUAUAAGAUUAAAUUACCUUAGGGAUAACAGCAUAAUUUUUUUUGAGAGUUCAUAUCGAAAAAAAAGAUUGUGACCUCGAUGUUGGAUUAAGAUUAGUUUUAGGUGUAGGUGUUUAAUUACUAGGUCUGUUCGACCUUUAAAAUCUUACAUGAUCU
This 493-nucleotide ribosomal RNA is filed under the name Acromantis moultoni. Its description in RNAcentral is "partial 16S ribosomal RNA". It matches the Rfam family "Bacterial large subunit ribosomal RNA", at positions 1853 to 2606 of the family's 2925-position model. The record is from RNAcentral. Lineage: Eukaryota; Metazoa; Arthropoda; Insecta; Mantodea; Hymenopodidae.